Molecule: non-coding RNA, 86 nt
Filed under: human gut metagenome
Description: Cyclic di-GMP-I riboswitch
Rfam family: c-di-GMP-I riboswitch aptamer
About the family: GEMM was predicted in a large-scale screen for bacterial structured RNA regulatory elements.
Source: RNAcentral
GGUAAACCCGCCGAAAGGCGGCGACACAAAGCCAUAUGGGUCUAAUGCCUGACUGCCGCAGCGGUCAGACGAUGAUAGCCGGUUGC